UGGGGAAUUUUGGACAAUGGGCGAAAGCCUGAUCCAGCAAUGCCGCGUGUGUGAAGAAGGCCUUCGGGUUGUAAAGCACUUUUGUCCGGAAAGAAAUCCUUGGCUCUAAUACAGUCGGGGGAUGACGGUACCGGAAGAAUAAGCACCGGCUAACUACGUGCCAGCAGCCGCGGUAAUACGUAGGGUGCAAGCGUUAAUCGGAAUUACUGGGCGUAAAGCGUGCGCAGGCGGUUUGCUAAGACCGAUGUGAAAUCCCCGGGCUCAACCUGGGAACUGCAUUGGUGACUGGCAGGCUAGAGUAUGGCAGAGGGGGGUAGAAUUCCACGUGUAGCAGUGAAAUGCGUAGAGAUGUGGAGGAAUACCGAUGGCGAAGGCAGCCCCCUGGGCCAAUACUGACGCUCAUGCACGAAAAGCGUGGGGGAGCAAAACAGGAUUAGAUACCCUGGUAGUCCACGCCCUAAAACGAUGUCAACUAGUUGUUGGGGAUUCAUUUCCUUAGUAACGUAGCUAACGCGUGAAGUUGACCGCCUGGGGGAGUACGGUCGCAAGAUUAAAAACUCAAAUGAAUUGACGGGGUCAUAGCUGUUU
This 588-nucleotide ribosomal RNA is filed under the name uncultured bacterium. RNAcentral's name for it is "partial 16S ribosomal RNA". It matches the Rfam family "Bacterial small subunit ribosomal RNA", at positions 355 to 935 of the family's 1533-position model. The record is from RNAcentral.